Molecule: ribosomal RNA, 492 nt
Filed under: uncultured bacterium
Lineage: Bacteria
Description: partial 16S ribosomal RNA
Rfam family: Bacterial small subunit ribosomal RNA
Source: RNAcentral
AGUGAACGCUGGCGGUAGGCCUAACACAUGCAAGUCGAACGGCAGCACAGUAAGAGCUUGCUCUUACGGGAGGCGAGUGGCGGACGGGUGAGGAAUACAUCGGAAUCUACUUUUUCGUGGGGGAUAACGUAGGGAAACUUACGCUAAUACCGCAUACGACCUACGGGUGAAAGCAGGGGAUCUUCGGACCUUUCGCGAUUGAAUGAGCCGAUGUCGGAUUGGCUAGUUGGCGGGGUAAAGGCCCACCAAGGCGGCGAUCCGUAGCUGGUCUGAGAGGAUGAUCAGCCACACUGGAACUGAGACACGGUCCAGACUCCUACGGGAGGCAGCAGUGGGGAAUAUUGGACAAUGGGCGCAAGACUGAUCCAGCCAUACCGCGUGGGUGAAGAAGGCCUUCGGGUUGUAAAGCCCUUUUGUUGGGAAAGAAAAGCAGCAGGUUAAUACCCCGCUGUUCUGACGGUACCCAAAGAAUAAGCACCGGCUAACUUCGUG